RNAcentral lists this ribosomal RNA (502 nucleotides) under uncultured Desulfomonile sp. RNAcentral's name for it is "bacterial SSU rRNA". It matches the Rfam family "Bacterial small subunit ribosomal RNA", at positions 14 to 489 of the family's 1533-position model. The record is from RNAcentral. Lineage: Bacteria; Pseudomonadati; Thermodesulfobacteriota; Desulfomonilia; Desulfomonilales; Desulfomonilaceae.
UGAUCAUGGCUCAGAACGAACGCUGGCGGCGUGCCUAACACAUGCAAGUCGUACGAGAAACACGUCCUUCGGGGCGUGGAGUAAAGUGGCGCACGGGUGAGUAACACGUGGGUAACCUGCCCUUGGAACCGGGAUAACUGGCCGAAAGGCCCGCUAAUACCGGAUAAGACUUCAUGAGCUUCGGCUCAUGCGGCCAAAGUCGGCCUCUCGAAGAAGCCGGCGCCUGAGGAUGGGCCCGCGGACCAUUAGCUAGUUGGUGAGGUAACGGCCCACCAAGGCCGAGAUGGUUAGCUGGUCUGAGAGGAUGAUCAGCCACACUGGAACUGAGAUACGGUCCAGACUCCUACGGGAGGCAGCAGUGAGGAAUAUUGUGCAAUGGAGGCAACUCUGACGCAGCAACGCCGCGUGGGUGAGGAAGGCUUUCGGGUUGUAAAGCCCUGUCAGGUGGGAAGAAACCUCAUCUAGUGAAUAGCUAGAGGAACUGACGGUACCACCAAAGGAA